This 253-nucleotide ribosomal RNA is filed under the name uncultured bacterium. RNAcentral describes it as "partial 16S ribosomal RNA". It matches the Rfam family "Bacterial small subunit ribosomal RNA", at positions 524 to 776 of the family's 1533-position model. The record is from RNAcentral.
GACGAAGGGGGCUAGCGUUGUUCGGAAUUACUGGGCGUAAAGCGCGUGUAGGCGGUUGCCCAAGUCGGGUGUGAAAGCCUUGAGCUCAACUCAAGAAAUGCACUCGGUACUGGGUGACUAGAGGACCGGAGAGGAUAGUGGAAUUCCCAGUGUAGUGGUGAAAUACGUAGAGAUUGGGAAGAACGCCAGUGGCGAAGGCGGCUAUCUGGACGGUUUCUGACGCUAAGACGCGAAAGCGUGGGGAGCAAACAGG